CAGAAAAGGUAAGAACAUCAGAACUGUUAAAUGUCAAAUGUCUGGCUCAAUGUAAAAAAUUAUCUUUCUUUUGUACUCAGACAGAGUUAACCACUUGUUACUGCCAUGCUGCUUGCCCUCCCUUGAAAUCUAUAAGCUCGUCACAGCCUAGAGUUCUGUAAAGUCAAUUCACACAGAAGCACAAUUUUGUCCUCUUCCAGACACUGUUGCCUCUAUCUAGUCAUACAAAUAGGAUUUUGCAUACUUUGCCCCUAGAUUCGUCAGUGCAUCAGAAAUACACCUAAACAGUAGUAAAAUGCACGUUACGGUUAAAUCUUAGGAUAAUUCCUUUCCUGUUCCUGAAGAGUAAAAAGUAUGUUAAAGACCAAAAUUAUUGGCAUAUAAUAAUCAGCUACAUACAAAUCACAUACAGUUCUAUCUUUUUUAAUUAAAAAAAAUCAUGUUUAAAAUGGCAAAAACCCAUCUUAUAGACUCUUUUAUAUAGCUGCAAAAAUUUAUAUCUGUACAGAUCUAACAUAACACUACUACACUCAGUAUUCAUUUUACUGAAGCAUGCAAGUUAAAGCACUUUUUCUAAUUUAUAUAGAGAUAACCAAUUAACGAGGCACAUUGUAGUAAUGACUAGGAGAAGUAGCUUUUUCUCCCCUUCCUCUGACUAUGAAUUCCUGUUGUAAUGUCCCUUUUCUAGUAAAUUUUUGAGAGGCAAUUUAGUUGGCAAUUUAGGAGGCAGCACGGUCUGAGUUUAAUUGUUGCACUGUUGUGGCUGAUCUCUAGAGGAAUGUCUUGUCUUUGCAUGGAGCUCUUAGAGAUGUGUCCAGACUUGCUUACCAAGUGGUUAGUGUAUAUUAGGAGCACAUGUUGUGUGUUCUGAACCAGCUCAAACUAGCCACAGUGAGCAACUCUGUGUCUAGCAAAUGAGAAAGAAAGUUGAUUUCUUGCCCAGCUGUUACCACUGGUGAUGUGCCAGAUUGCAGGCAGAUGUUGGUUUGUUGCCUUGUCCUCUUUCCUCCUAAAACAACAUUGGCUUUACCAUCUUAACUCAGCUGUGGGUUUUUUUGUGUGGGUUUUGGUUUAUUUGUUUUUUGGUAUGAAUUGUCAUGUUUGGUAUUGUUUUUAAUCCCCACCCCCCCCCCCCAAAAAAAAAAAAAAAACCUCAAAGCCUCCAUGGAUCAAGAUCUCAUAUUAAGGAUUUUUUUGUCCUAGGGAAAAAAAUUUUUUUAACCAAAAUCUGGAAAAUGUGAAAGCAUAUUUAGAUUUUUAUAUACUCUCUGAAAUAUGAUUUAAGAUUCUUAAGUUUGGGCCUCUUGUAAUAAUUUUGAAUGAGAUCUACCAACUCACUUGUGAGUAUAUUUUUCACAGAUAUCUUUAGGCCUUCAUUAGAAAGCUAUUUUCCCCCUGUUGGUUAUCUCAUUUCUCUAUUGCUUCAGAUUAUGAAAGAUUACAGAGGUGUCUGUUGGAAUCAUUUGCUGAGUCAUUUCCUCAAAUCAUAUUCCAUUGUAUCAGUUAACAUAUAGUUUUAAAUGUACAUAUUAUAAAUAUCUGUAACCAAAUCAUUUGAAGGCUUAAUAAAUUUUUAACAAAGUUUGUACAUUUUUUAUGAAAGUUACUAGUAAUGCUUUACCAAGUAGUGCAAUGAAUUUUUAUUUUUAAUCCCUGUGCCCAAUUUUGGAGUUGAGAGGGUUGUAGGUAAUAAAUGUAUGAUGUACACUUAAAAAAAAAAAAGAUU
Molecule: long non-coding RNA, 1726 nt
Filed under: Marmota monax (woodchuck)
Lineage: Eukaryota; Metazoa; Chordata; Mammalia; Rodentia; Sciuridae
Source: RNAcentral